GUAAAACUACAAAUACAUCUCCUGAAUGCAACUCAGGCGCUUUAAUUAAACUAGGGCCUCCUAGGCAAA
Molecule: transfer RNA, 69 nt
Filed under: Uroplatus pietschmanni
Lineage: Eukaryota; Metazoa; Chordata; Lepidosauria; Squamata; Gekkonidae
Description: tRNA-Ala
Source: RNAcentral